Molecule: ribosomal RNA, 253 nt
Filed under: uncultured bacterium
Lineage: Bacteria
Description: partial 16S ribosomal RNA
Rfam family: Bacterial small subunit ribosomal RNA
Source: RNAcentral
UACAGAGGUCUCAAGCGUUGUUCGGAUUCAUUGGGCGUAAAGGGUGCGUAGGUGGCGCUGUAAGUCGGGUGUGAAAUUUCGGAGCUUAACUCCGAAACUGCAUUCGAUACUGCGGUGCUUGAGGACUGGAGAGGAGACUGGAAUUCAUGGUGUAGCAGUGAAAUGCGUAGAGAUCAUGAGGAAGACCAGUGGCGAAGGCGGGUCUCUGGCCUGUAACUGACGCUGAGGCGCGAAAGCGUGGGGAGCAAACAGG